UAUUCAUGGAACUAUCGGAAACCGGUGUCGCACUUUCUGUUUUUACAGUUUUUGACGUCCGUUUGUUUUUAUUGUUAACUUCCCUUAUUUGGGCUCGUUUGUUCCCGUUUUUCGUUGUAAAUUACACUUUGAACAUUCAUCUUGACGAUGCAGUGACAGAAAAGACGACAAUAAACACAGACAAUUUUUUAAGGUGAGUUUUAUUGUUAAAUUAUCGGAAACUGGUAACGCUAGGAUAGUGUUUUUCUUUCACUGUCUAAGCCAUGCAUUACAUUUAAAUUUAAAGGUGGUAAAUCACAUUUGAGUAUCAUUUCAACAUGACCAAACUUUAUUAUCUGAUAUUGUAGAUAUCCAAGGUGCCUGAACCACGUGACUUUUUCGGCUAUGUGUGGGACAAUCGGAUGUAAACAAAACGUCGCUUCAGUGUGGCAGAGAGGUCAAAACACGGUCGGGGAUCUCCUAACACAAAGCCACCCACGCACGGACAGGAAAAAAGGAGAUUAAAGUAUUUUUGGAAGCACCUUCAAGAGACGUACUGAUAUCUUUAUCAAUGAAAAGUUGUCAUACAAACAUGUAUAGUAAAUGUUCCAAAGUUUAAAUGACUCUUUGAUUUAUUACCAGAUGGUGCAAGUAUUGCAGGGAAAGAAAACAAUCAAAAUAAACAUUACAUAAAAAUUUGACAUUUCAACAAAUUGAACAACAUUAUAUGAUUUAAUGUUAAUUACUUGGUGCAGUGGUAACAAGAUCUUGCAGCGCCCUUUCAUGACCGGGGCGAAUGAGUAUUUUCAUUAAACAUCUCAAACUAUUGUCAGUUAUUCAACUUUCAUUUGAAUUUGAGUAAAUUAAGUAUUGAUGCAAUUCAAUAUGUUUGUUGGUAUAAUGACCCCCACAAGUCAAGACGUUUUGGCGAUGAUCAUUUGUUAUGACUUAAUUGAAGCAUUCAUAUGUUUGAAUAGCAAGAUUUGCAAAUUCAUAAAUUGACUGAUUACAAUUUCUUUGUGAAUACUAAUGUACUUCUUUAUGUAUUUGGCGCUUUAAUUUCUAUUGUUACAUGUGCAUGCUAGUUAUAAAGUAAUGGUAUUAUUAA
Long non-coding RNA from Dreissena polymorpha, 1087 nucleotides. RefSeq lists it as uncharacterized. The transcript has 3 exons. The record is from RefSeq and is a predicted model, not a curated record. Lineage: Eukaryota; Metazoa; Mollusca; Bivalvia; Myida; Dreissenidae.